AUGCUUGCUUCAGUGGCACAUAUACUAAAACUAAGAUUAGCAUGGGUCUGCACAAGGAUAAUGUGCAAAGUCAUGAAGCACUCCAUAUUUUA
Molecule: small nuclear RNA, 92 nt
Filed under: Chinchilla lanigera (long-tailed chinchilla)
Lineage: Eukaryota; Metazoa; Chordata; Mammalia; Rodentia; Chinchillidae
Source: RNAcentral